CCUACGGGUGGCAGCAGUGAGGAAUAUUGGUCAAUGGACGAGAGUCUGAACCAGCCAAGUAGCGUGAAGGAUGACUGCCCUAUGGGUUGUAAACUUCUUUUAUAAAGGAAUAAAACGAGGCACGUGUGCCUUUUUGCAUGUACUUUAUGAAUAAGGAUCGGCUAACUCCGUGCCAGCAGCCGCGGUAAUACGGAGGAUCCGAGCGUUAUCCGGAUUUAUUGGGUUUAAAGGGAGCGUAGAUGGGUUGUUAAGUCAGUUGUGAAAGUUUGUGGCUCAACCGUAAAAUUGCAAUUGAUACUGGCAGUCGUGAGUACAGUUGAGGUAGGCGGAAUUCGUGGUGUAGCGGUGAAAUGCUUAGAUAUCACGAAGAACCCCGAUUGCGAAGGCAGCUUACUAAACUGUGACUGACAUUGAUGCUCGAAAGUGUGGGUAUCAAACAGGAUUAGAUACCCCAGUAGUC
This 460-nucleotide ribosomal RNA is filed under the name uncultured bacterium. RNAcentral describes it as "partial 16S ribosomal RNA". It matches the Rfam family "Bacterial small subunit ribosomal RNA", at positions 338 to 795 of the family's 1533-position model. The record is from RNAcentral.